GCCAGACUCCUACGGGAGGCAGCAGUGGGGGAUAUUGCACAAUGGGGGCAACCCUGAUGCAGCGACGCCGCGUGAGCGAUGGAGUACUUCGGUAUGUAAAGCUCUGUCAGCAGGGAAGAGAAUGACGGUACCUGACCAAGAAGCCCCGGCUAAAUACGUGCCAGCAGCCGCGGUAAUACGUAUGGGGCAAGCGUUAUCCGGAUUUACUGGGUGUAAAGGGCGUGUAGGCGGGACUGCAAGUCAGAUGUGAAAGCCACGGGCUCAACCUGUGGCCUGCAUUUGAAACUGUUGGUCUUGAGUAUCGGAGAGGCAGGCGGAAUUCCUAGUGUAGCGGUGAAAUGCGUAGAUAUUAGGAGGAACACCAGUGGCGAAGGCGGUCUGCUGGACAGCAACUGACGCUGAGGCGCGAAAGCGUGGGGAGCAAACAGGAUUAGAUACCCCCGUA
This 445-nucleotide ribosomal RNA is filed under the name uncultured bacterium. Its description in RNAcentral is "partial 16S ribosomal RNA". It matches the Rfam family "Bacterial small subunit ribosomal RNA", at positions 330 to 792 of the family's 1533-position model. The record is from RNAcentral.